This 429-nucleotide ribosomal RNA is filed under the name Bacteroidota bacterium. RNAcentral's name for it is "Bacteroidetes bacterium partial 16S ribosomal RNA". It matches the Rfam family "Bacterial small subunit ribosomal RNA", at positions 355 to 776 of the family's 1533-position model. Lineage: Bacteria; Pseudomonadati; Bacteroidota. The record is from RNAcentral.
UAGGGAAUCUUCGGCAAUGGGGGGAACCCUGACCGAGCAACGCCGCGUGAGUGAAGAAGGUUUUCGGAUCGUAAAGCUCUGUUGUUAAGGAAGAACGAGUGUGAGAAUGGAAAGUUCAUACUGUGACGGUACUUAACCAGAAAGGGACGGCUAACUACGUGCCAGCAGCCGCGGUAAUACGUAGGUCCCGAGCGUUGUCCGGAUUUAUUGGGCGUAAAGCGAGCGCAGGCGGUUAGAUAAGUCUGAAGUUAAAGGCAGUGGCUCAACCAUUGUAGGCUUUGGAAACUGGUUAGCUUGAGGGCGGAAGGGGAGAGUGGAAUUCGAUGUGUGGCGGUGAAAUGCGUAGAUUUAUGGAGGAACGCCGGUGGCGAGAGCGGCUGGCUGGUCUGUAACUGACGCUGAGGCUCGAAAGCGUGGGGAGCGAACAGG